GGGCGGCGAGCGGCGGACGGGUGAGUAAUGGCUGGGAACCUGCCCGAUAGAGGGGGAUAACAGUUGGAAACGACUGCUAAUACCGCAUGAUGUCUACGGACCAAAGGAGGGGAUCUUCGGACCUUUCGCUAUCGGAUGGGCCCAGUUGGGAUUAGCUAGUUGGUGAGGUAAUGGCUCACCAAGGCGACGAUCCCUAGCUGGUUUGAGAGGAUGAUCAGCCACACUGGAACUGAGACACGGUCCAGACUCCUACGGGAGGCAGCAGUGGGGAAUAUUGCACAAUGGGCGCAAGCCUGAUGCAGCCAUGCCGCGUGUGUGAAGAAGGCCUUCGGGUUGUAAAGCACUUUCAGCAGUGAGGAAGGUUACGUAGUUAAUACCUGCGUGAUUUGACGUUAGCUGCAGAAGAAGCACCGGCUAACUCCGUGCCAGCAGCCGCGGUAAUACGGAGGGUGCGAGCGUUAAUCGGAAUUACUGGGCGUAAAGCGCAUGCAGGCGGUUUGUUAAGCAAGAUGUGAAAGCCCCGGGCUUAACCUGGGAACAGCAUUUUGAACUGGCAGGCUAGAGUCUUGUAGAGGGGGGUAGAAUUUCAGGUGUAGCGGUGAAAUGCGUAGAGAUCUGAAGGAAUACCGGUGGCGAAGGCGGCCCCCUGGACAAAGACUGACGCUCAGAUGCGAAAGCGUGGGGAGCAAACAGGAUUAGAUACCCUGGUAGUCCACGCUGUAAACGAUGUCUACUUGGAGGUUGUGACCUAGAGUCGUGGCUUUCGGAGCUAACGCGUUAAGUAGACCGCCUGGGGAGUACGGUCGCAAGAUUAAAACUCAAAUGAAUUGACGGGGGCCCGCACAAGCGGUGGAGCAUGUGGUUUAAUUCGAUGCAACGCGAAGAACCUUACCUACUCUUGACAUCCAGAGAAGCCUGAAGAGAUUUUGGUGUGCCUUCGGGAACUCUGAGACAGGUGCUGCAUGGCUGUCGUCAGCUCGUGUUGUGAAAUGUUGGGUUAAGUCCC
This 1006-nucleotide ribosomal RNA is filed under the name Enterovibrio sp. RNAcentral's name for it is "bacterial SSU rRNA". It matches the Rfam family "Bacterial small subunit ribosomal RNA", at positions 86 to 1088 of the family's 1533-position model. The record is from RNAcentral. Lineage: Bacteria; Pseudomonadati; Pseudomonadota; Gammaproteobacteria; Vibrionales; Vibrionaceae.